AAUUUUAGGGACUGCGGUGUGGGUCAGGUCGUCUGUGGCCAUCCCACGCAAGAGGAUUAAGCGCAGAAUAAACGUGUAGAAAGCCUUCGGGCUCCGAGUUUGGACGCGGGUUCGACUCCCGCCGCCUCCACUU
Molecule: transfer-messenger RNA, 133 nt
Filed under: Rikenellaceae bacterium
Lineage: Bacteria; Pseudomonadati; Bacteroidota; Bacteroidia; Bacteroidales; Rikenellaceae
Description: partial transfer-messenger RNA
Rfam family: transfer-messenger RNA
About the family: Bacterial tmRNA, also known as 10Sa RNA or SsrA, is named for its dual tRNA and mRNA-like properties. Its role is to liberate the mRNA from a stalled ribosome. To accomplish this part of the tmRNA is used as a reading frame that ends in a translation stop signal.
Source: RNAcentral